Molecule: transfer RNA, 63 nt
Filed under: Staphylinoidea sp. 11 KM-2017
Lineage: Eukaryota; Metazoa; Arthropoda; Insecta; Coleoptera
Description: tRNA-Gly
Source: RNAcentral
AUUUAUAUAAUAUAAAAAGUAUAUUUAACUUCCAAUUAAAAAGUCUAAAUUUUAGUAUAAAUA